Molecule: long non-coding RNA, 1077 nt
Organism: Mastomys coucha (southern multimammate mouse)
Lineage: Eukaryota; Metazoa; Chordata; Mammalia; Rodentia; Muridae
Exons: 5
Source: RefSeq, a predicted model, not a curated record
UACUCUCUCAGUUCCCAAUUGUACCUCCUAACAGUCCAUGUGGCUAUGACAUCAUGAAUGAGAUUAGAACUCUCAUGACCCAAUCACCUCCCAGCAGUCCCUCCUCGGGUCAAGCCUUUUGUCACCAAGCCUUCAUGGAAUAUUUCAUAUCCAAGCCACAAACCUGACAAAAGCAGUUCCAGUGCCUAGGGAUGCCUGAUUUGCUUUUAAUUGCCUCUGCCCCUUGGUUUGGUUCCCUGCUACACUGAUUAUAUUUGUGUAAUACUUGAAGCUCAGAGAUGUACCAUGUAAAGGCUUCACCCUCUGGAGAGCACCACACAUGUGCAGUGUCUGAAGAGGCCAGAAGAAGGAGUCAUAACAUCUGGAACUAGAAUUAUAGUCUAUUGUGAACUAUCAGUUUGUGUGACAGCGCCACUCACAUCCAAGGUGAAUCUUUCUCCCUCCGGUUCUUCCUUGCUGGAACAACCUUCACAGACAAGCCGAAGAUGUGCACCUCAACAAUCUCCUAGAACCAUGGGCACAGCAAUCCUGGUAUGGAGGAAACAAAAGGAUACAAGAGUCUAUCCCCACCCUAAGGAGCUGAUUUAGUGGAGAAAAUAGAGGAGAAUGCAAGAGUGCCAGACCCUGAAUGAGAGCAUCAAUGAUUCAUCCUCCAGGAGUGCAGAGGAGGGGCAUAGGGAAUAACAAAUGAUAGAGAGAAAUACUAAUUGGCACACAUCAGCUUCGCCAGAGACCAUGUGGAAUGUCCCUCUUCUUGUUUGCUUUAAACACCUUGUAAGUACCUUUUGAAUGUGAGAAAACUGAUCUAGGAGACAGAAAAUAAGGGAGUAUGAAUGGAGGACACAGAGCUUGUGUGGGACCUCAGCCCACAGACAAACAUCAGAGGACUCUCAGAGGCCUAGGGUGGUGGGAUGGGAAGUUUCAGCCUGUGUGCAAAGUCCUCAGACCCUUUUCAGCCUCUUGCCUUUCACAGUCCCCAUCCCUCUAGCUCUAGCAUCAACAAGGCAAACCAUCAGUUAUUCAGACUGGAAUUGAACAAAUUUAAUUGCAAAGAAUUAAAUAAGUUGUAGAUCAAUA